GAUGAACGCUGGCGGCGUGCCUAACACAUGCAAGUCGAACGGAGAUUACGGACGGAAGUUUUCGGAUGGAAGACUGUAAUUCUUAGUGGCGGACGGGUGAGUAACGCGUGGGCAACCUGCCCUAUACAGGGGGAUAGCAGCUGGAAACGGCUGGUAAGACCGCAUAAGUCGGCGAGACCGCAUGGUUUUGCCGGGAAAUGAGCAAUCAGGUAUAGGAUGGGCCCGCGUCCGAUUAGCCAGUUGGCAGGGUAAAAGCCUACCAAAGCAACGAUCGGUAGCCGGACUGAGAGGUCGGACGGCCACAUUGGGACUGAGACUCGGCCCAAACUCCUACGGGAGGCAGCAGUGGGGGAUAUUGCACAAUGGAGGAAACUCUGAUGCAGCGACGCCGCGUGAGUGAAGAAGUAUUUCGGUAUGUAAAGCUCUAUCAGCAGGGAAGAUGAUGACGGUACCUGACUAAGAAGCCCCGGCUAACUACGUG
RNAcentral lists this ribosomal RNA (481 nucleotides) under uncultured bacterium. RNAcentral describes it as "partial 16S ribosomal RNA". It matches the Rfam family "Bacterial small subunit ribosomal RNA", at positions 28 to 507 of the family's 1533-position model. The record is from RNAcentral.